RNAcentral lists this ribosomal RNA (224 nucleotides) under uncultured bacterium. RNAcentral's name for it is "partial 16S ribosomal RNA". It matches the Rfam family "Bacterial small subunit ribosomal RNA", at positions 524 to 776 of the family's 1533-position model. The record is from RNAcentral.
UACGUAAAAGACUAGUGUUAUUCAUCUUUAGUAGGUUUAAAGGGUACCUAGACGGUAUAAUUAGUCUUAAACAAGAAAACGGUUAUGCUAGAGUUAUAUAUGAGAAGGGGAGUAUUUAUGGAGUAGAGUUGAAAUUCUUUGAUCCCAUAACGACUGGUAGCGGCGAAAGCAACCUUUUAUCUAAUAACUGACGUUGAGGGACGAAGGCUCGGGUCACGAACAGG